RNAcentral lists this microRNA (22 nucleotides) under Schistosoma japonicum. RNAcentral's name for it is "miRNA-3094". The record is from RNAcentral. Lineage: Eukaryota; Metazoa; Platyhelminthes; Trematoda; Strigeidida; Schistosomatidae.
UGCUGUCGUUAGGAAACGGAUU